RNAcentral lists this long non-coding RNA (1335 nucleotides) under Zea mays. RNAcentral describes it as "long non-coding RNA (ZMAY_LNC000748)". The record is from RNAcentral. Lineage: Eukaryota; Viridiplantae; Streptophyta; Magnoliopsida; Poales; Poaceae.
CUAAUGUAGUUGUUGUGAAUGUCUAUGUAGUAUGUGUGAGGUCAACAGGCGGUGGACGACACAAUCCCCAUCAAUGAUCAGAAAAACUAAAAAUUGUACAACAACAGUGGGAUCUACCAUGUACAACUCAUGGGUGCAUCGAACAAUAUCUCACAUGCAGACACGGCGAGUGCACAACACUCGGAGAGGCGAGCUACUACAACCAAUGAUGGCACAACGGGUACCAACGACAUUGAUGGAUAUGAUCACUUUUGCCCAUCAACAACACUCAUGAUCUAUCUGCCUUCAUGGCCGCUUAGGGUCGGGGUAUGCCUCCACGUGAUAGGAAUGUGGCUCAAUGAUGAGCCCGGAACGAGGCAGUAACGACCUAGCGAUGAUGACCACAUGAGGAGAUCCCGAUCUUCUGUGCAACAGCUACGACAAAAAAAAUCAUUUGGAUCGAUACGAUCGAGUGUUAAAUGGUAGCGCUACCCCCACACAUAUAGAUAGAUCUCUCUCUCACCCACGAUUGUGAAAGCUCAUUGCGUCUAGAAUUAAAAUCUAAACCUAGACUCACGAUAUCAUAAAAAAUAGAAUUAAUGUAAUUAAAUAGAUGUAUUACAUUAAACACUUGAUCGAUUUAUAUAUAAUAUAGGACUUAGGAUAUAAAGCAACCUAUAAAUGCAUAUACAUAAUAUAUGAACUAACAAAUAUACUUUAACUAAUACUAUAGUCAGCACAGAAAGCAUUGAAGAGCGAUGUCAAACACGUCCUAAAGCAAAGUUUGUGCCUCUAGCUAUUUAAAUAAUAUAAAUAAAUAGAUAUCUACCUAACAAAUGCGUAAAAUACUGCCUGGAGGAAAACGAAGGAAAAUAGAGCGAAGAAGAGUUGGUGGUCGGUAGCUACUGCUCCGUUGCCCAAUUCUUCCCUCCUCCUCCCUACUGAUUCCAGCUAUCAGUCCUCUCCGCCAAAAGACAAGACCAUAAAGAUUACUCAUAGAUUAAAGUAGGGUUUGGACGUCUGCCUGUCCAUUUCGGCGUCUGUUCUUAGCGGCCGACAAGCGGAAUCUGGAUCAAGUCCCCUGCUUCAACCCAUCCCCUCUCAUCGAUUCAUUGCCACAAGGUACGUACCAGAUCACUUCUCCUCUCUCCUGAUGCUCCUGCAAUUCGAUUUCAAUUUCCUUCUGGGACUCGUUGCCAAUUUCGCUAGUUCCCCUCCUGUCCUCGAUUCUUACCCUGCAUUCGAACCCCAACGAUUAAGCUACUUUUGUUACCGAGAAUGCCAACGAUGUAUGCAAUCCGCUUACCUUGAACUGUUUUGGUCCAGGCAGCUGAUUGCUCACAGCGUUGGAUGUGA